This 269-nucleotide long non-coding RNA is filed under the name Ananas comosus (pineapple). Its description in RNAcentral is "long non-coding RNA (ACOM_LNC027859)". The record is from RNAcentral. Lineage: Eukaryota; Viridiplantae; Streptophyta; Magnoliopsida; Poales; Bromeliaceae.
CACAGCCCAAGAUCACCAGGCUAUGUGAGACUCGUCUCGCUAGCCCGUCAUCCAGACCCUGGCUCAGCCGAGACUCGCCACACAUGUCCAGCUGGUGAACCGGCUCUGAUACCAAAUGUAACGACCCAGCCAACUAGCAACAAUAACUCGUUGGGCCCAAUCACCGGCCCAAAAUGCUUAAGCCCAGUUAUUAUUACUAGUGUCUAAGUCUCUUAUAAACCCAAUGGCAACCCCAUUCCCAUCCGAUGUGGGAUUAUUAGGGUGUCACA